This is a long non-coding RNA of Myxocyprinus asiaticus (Chinese sucker), 884 nucleotides long. RefSeq lists it as uncharacterized. NCBI's taxonomy places the organism in Eukaryota, Metazoa, Chordata, Actinopteri, Cypriniformes, Catostomidae. The record is from RefSeq and is a predicted model, not a curated record. The transcript is spliced from 3 exons.
CAGUUGGUGGGAUUCCAGACAGCCCAACUAUUUAGAUGGCAACCAAUAUUGUGUGGCAACAUCUCCUGCUGGAUUCUGGAACAAUCGGAAUUGUGGAAAUAAAUACACUUUUAUCUGCUACAGUGUGAGGAAGAGAACGACUGUGAGAGUUGAGGUGAAAUCAAGUCAAAAUGUGAAUAAUCCUGGAGUGAAGGAGGAGAUUUUACAGAAGAUAGAGCAGAAACUGAAGGAGAAGGGAUUGGCUGAAAAUGCAACACUGUCAUGGAGAAACCAGUCAGAUGGAAAUGUCUUCAAAAAUGACCAGAAGAAUGCCACUCUGAUUGACCAGACUUGCAAUUAAAAAUGAAGAAAUUAAGUUUUACUGGUUUGCUUUGUAAUAACAUAAGAUAGACUUUAUCCGCUGGGGAAUAAUAGGCUAGUAAUAAUGGAACAAAUAUGCUUUGAAAUACUUCCUCAAUCAUUUUAGCUGAUUAGGUAAAUGAUUGUGAUUCUGCAGAAAAACUCCUGAAUACUUUCAUAAAGCUUCAAAGUUUAACACCUUUUUCAUUUUAAGUGAAACAAGAUGAUCUAUUAUUUCCUUAAUGAGUGCUGUGGCUCAGAGAAACAUGCACAAAUAAAUAAAUAAUAAUAAAAAAAAUAAUAAUUCUAAACUGUGACAAAUAGUGUUUUUAAUUCAUAACUAACAAUUCACUAAAACAAAUAAAGUAUAAAGUUAAAAUCUCACUGCUCUAAAAUAAACUCUAAAAUAAACAAUGGACAAAACAAUUACAUGUUCUAUAGACACCAUAACACUUUUAUAAUUGUAUUUUCUACAGUAAUAUAGUAAUAUAGAUUGUUUUACUAUCACAAAAUGCAUGUGUAUGUAUGUGUUGAUUCAGUCAUUA